Molecule: long non-coding RNA, 5524 nt
Filed under: Sus scrofa (pig)
Lineage: Eukaryota; Metazoa; Chordata; Mammalia; Artiodactyla; Suidae
Description: lncRNA (ENSSSCG00005029652.1)
Source: RNAcentral
GCUAUAGCUCUGAUUUGACCCCUAACCUGGAAACUUCCAUAUGUGGCGGGUGUGGCCCUAAAAAAAAGGCUGCAUCAUCAGAAAGUACCUAUUCACUGGGCCCCUGAAUAUGGUGGGCACGGGGAGCACCUCAUGGAUGUGGAGCCCCCCACCCUCUUUUAUUAAGAUGAAAUAUUUUAGACAUACCCCAAUGUAGAGAGAUCAGCACAACAAUAAUGUAACAUGAAAAGUGAAGAAAUGAGUCUUAAUGGAUACCACUGGGGCUUCUGCAUGCUUUUCCUUUCUCCUCAGAUUUAACUGCCGUGCUGAAUUUGGUAUUUAUAACUUCUGCUGAUAUAUAUACAUAUAUAUAUAUAUAUUCAACAUCUAUAAAAUAUGUACAGUCAGUUCUCACGAUUUAUGGUAGUUAAACUCAUGAAUACCGAAUUGACAAAUACUGAGCCAUUGCUCCGUUGCUCCUCGGGGAAAUAUAUGCACACAUAUCUCACAUAGAGUAUAAUCUUAAAUCCUAAAAACACCUCAUUCUGGUAGAUUCUAUUUUAUUUUACAAAAGAGAAAAAUGAGGAGUUCCCUGAUGGCCUAGAGAUUAAGGAUCCAGUGUUGUCACUGCUUGGCUCAGGUUUGAUCCCUAGCCGGGAAUUUCUGCAUGCCACAGGCUUGGCCAGAAAAAGAAAUCACCCAGAGGAGAAAAAUAAGAUUUGGAGACGUUAAGUGACUGGCCUGGGGCUGCCCCACUAACAGGUGCCAGAGUUAGAAUUCAAAGCCAGUCCUCCUGGUCCCGGAGCCCAGGAUCCUUGAACUGAACCACGCUGCCACCGGCCGCCUCCCUCCAGCAAGGCAGAUGGGGCCUUGUUUGACCUUAGCUGUGAACAUGCAUGUCGGAUGACUCAAAAUUGUUAUUGUUUUGCAUAUGUCUGCACAUGACUGCAGAAGUGCCUCAAAUGUUGGUUUGGGGGUUACAAAUCAAUUUUAGCAAAUAGGUGAACUCGAAAAGACUGAAGAUUGACAUGGGUACGUGCAUACAUAUACAUACAGAUAUAUACUUAGGUAUAUAAACAAUAUAUAUGUGAUACAUAUGUAUAUAGUAUCAUAUAUAUAUAAUGUAUAUUACCUGUCCUAAUUCUUAAACACUGUAUAGCACUUUUUGCAGUCUUUAAAACUGUGCUAAAUAGUAUCACACCAGAAAUAGCUUCUGCAAGAGGCUUCUUUCCAUCCCCACUGUUGCUAGUGGAGCUGUGGUUUCACUGCUGCAGAGGAAUAGCUAGUGUUUACUGAGCACCUACUAUGCACAUGGGCAAUUACGCUUUAUAUGUCACAUCGGGUUGAAGCCUCAAGGCCACUCAGUCAGGUGAAUACUGUUCUUAUACCCAUUUGACAGUGGAAGAAACUGAGGCAUGGGGAGGUGAAAUAAGUUGCCUUAACUACCUAGCAUAUGUUUAGUGGAGGAAUGAGUGAUGGAAACCACCAGAAUGAUCACUAACAGGACGAUGGGUAAAUAAAAUGUGGAAUUCUAAGGUUAGGAAGAUGGAUAAACAUUUGUCAUAGGGACAGUUUUAAGGCAGCCGUGGAUUCGGGUUUGCAAGAGUUCUCGUGCUCAGUGUGCUGCUCUGGGGGCUUCAGCCUGUGGGAAAGGUGGACAAGACCUGGCCACUGGCCAAAUGUCAUAGAAGUUGCCCUUGGAGAUGCCACCUUCUCUUCCAGCGGUCUCCUGUGUCGUGGCAGAGUGGAGUGGCUGGAGUCGCUGUGUCAAGCCCUGCCAGGUCUCUUACCGCGUCCGCCAGAGGCAUGUGCUGCAGGAGCCGAGGAACGGGGGUGCUCCCUGCCCCCCAUUGGAAGAACGGGCUGGCUGCGUGGAGUAUCACAACCACCAGGGAGUGGAGUGCCAACAGUCUUUGCGUGAGUUGGGGUGGCCCUGGGGGUAGACUGCCAGUGGGAACAGCCUGGCUGGACUGCAGGGCCCACCACAAGUUCUGUGUGGGGUCUGAGUCGAGGGUGCGACUUUGUCUUCCUUUGCCCUGAUCCCUCUCCUCACCUUGUAAAUGAGGUAAGAACCUCUGUCCUCCUCUGGGCAUCUCAGUGUCUUCUUUCUUAUCUCCCAGCGUGAACUGGUCAGGGCUUGGUUUAAAUGAAGACAGGAAACCCAACUUAACCUGACUAGUGCGAAAAUUUGUGGCUCAUGUAACUGAAAAUCCAAGUUCUGCAUUCAGGGAUGGCUGGAUCCAGAAGCCCAAGCAAUGUUGCCUGGAAUCUCUCUCCAUCUCUCUGCUCUGUUGUCCUGAGUUGGCAUCUAUUCUCAGGCAGGCAUUCCCCCUGUAAUGGUCUGUGUUAGCUCCAGGCUUCCUUGCACCCAGCUCGGCAGCUGGAAGAAAAGGCCUCUUUGCCCUUAGUUUCAGCAAAUGUCCUAGGAUGAAGUCUCAUUGGCUUGACUUGGGUCCUGUGGCCACUGCUGAAACAAUCAGUACAGCCAGAGGGAUGCAGUACUCUGAUUGGCCAAGCCUGGGGCAUGUGGUCCCUUUGAGGCUGGAGGGGUGGGUUAGCCCCAUGUGAAUGAGAGUAGGGGAGGGGUGUUCUGCAAAGGACAAUUGGGGAGAAUGGAUGCAGGGCAGGCAAAAGAGCAGAUGUUGCCACAUUGUACAUCCUGACAAAAGGCUUUUAUAUCGUUACAAAAAAAUAGGUGAUGCCUAUUUAACAGCUAAAGAAAUUGACCAAGAGGGUGACAGUGGUUUUUCUGAAGGGGUAGAAGUACAGGCAGUUGGGCUAACUUGCCCGCUUCCAGUCUCUCCCCAGGCUGCAGCCUGGAGGGGCACGGAGGCCAUACUGCAUGGUGUCACCCUCCUGCUUUAAAUCCUCCAGUAGCACCCAGAGCCCUCAGGGUGAAAGCCACACAUUGUCACAAUCUAUAAGCUCAAUGUGCUCUGGCUGUCACUUCCUGUGACUUUCUGUCCUCUGUCUUCUGCCUACAUUUUAUUAUUUAUUUAUUUUCUCUUUGUAGGGCUGUACCUGCAGCACAUGGAAGUUCCCGGGCUAGGAGGUGAAUUGGAGCUGCAGCUACUGGCCUACAUCACAGCCACUGAAACCAAUGCCAGAUCCAAGCUGGAUCUGCGACCUACACCAAAGCUCAUGGCAAUGCUGGAUCCUUAACCCACUGAGUGAGGCCAGGGAUUGGACCUGCAUCCUCAUGGACACUAGUCGGUUUCGUAACCUGCUGAGCUGCAACAGGAACUCCCUGUCUUCUGCCUGCAUUUUAGAGGACCAUUCUGACUGCUGGGGGGACAGCAGACUAAAAGGGGAAACCAGGGAGGAGGUGACUGCAUGGUGCAGGCAAGGGCGUCCAGACUGUUCAUUUCUUUCAUCCCUUCAUCUCGCCAUCCAUCCUUCCUUCCGUUCAUCAUCCCUGCUGUCAUCUCUCUCUCUCUUUUUGGCCAUGGUCAUGGCACACGGGAGUUCCUGGGCCAGGGAAUGAACCUGCGGCACAGCAGUCACUUGCGCCACAUCAGUGUCAAUAACGGAUCCUUAACUACUAGGCUACCAGGGAACUCCCUGUCUCUCCUUUUUCCCCAUCUUCCAUUUAUCCAUCACCCCUCCAUUCUUCCUUUAUUUCUCACAUCAUUUCAGCCACCCAUCCACCCAGUUAAUAACCAUCUCUUUUUCUCACUCAUUCAUCAGAAUCAUUUAUUUGAAGAACUUUUUUUAUUGAGAUUCACUAUACAACCCACUGUGCUAGGCCCUGAGUCUCAAGAGAGAUAAAUAGGAUCCUGCCUCCAGCAUUGCAGAAAGGGUCCUUGGGGGGAGCACCUACCCAGUUACAAGAUCCCACAGUCUCCCUCGGGCUGCCACACAAAUAACUGGGACACCAGGAGUACCUGGUCCUGCCUCCUGGGGUGUCAUAGCCUUGGGGGUGGGGGUGGGGGUGCUGGGCUACCUAACUCUAUUUUCUCCCUGGCCUACAGUCCCUGCUCUGAUAACCACAGGCAGCUAUGGGAAAGAGCGGGAAAAACAAGGUGUCCCCAAGAAGCAGGAGAUGGCAGGGUAAGUGGAAGCCAAUGGACCCACAGUCAGACUCUAAUUUGUGUUAAUUUGGAUUAAACCUUCAUCCUAGCUCUCUUAUUUCAACAGCUUCAACAUCUCCCUAUUUCUUGUCAUAUUACAUUUGUAAGCUCAUGAACGUGGACUUUGAAGUCCUUAAUAAUUGGUUUCUAUUCAAGUUCACUCACUCAUUCACUCAAUGUUUAUUGUUUAUAUGACAAGUACUGUGCUAGGCCUUGGGACAACAGCAAGGAACAAAAAAAGGACAGAAAUGCUUGUCCUCAUGGGGCAGUCAGUCUAGUCAGGGACAUCUUUACCAAGAAGGUGACAUUUGAACUAAGACAUCAAGGAGGGCACCUGGGGGAAGAGCAUGAUUUGAAGAGGGACUAGCAAGUGCAAAGGUCCUGAGGCAGGGAAUGCCUGGUAUGUUCAAGGAGCAGCAAGAAGUUCAGGCUGGAAUUCAGGGAGAGGGAGAGAGAGCCAGAUCGCACAGGAUCUAUAGGCUGUGGUGGAAGUUGUGUACUGUCUCUGCAUGAAAUGGGAGUCAUGAGAGGGUUUGGGGGCAGGGGAAUGACAAGCUCUGACCUAGGUUUUCACAGGAUCCUAUUAGAUGCUAUUUGGAGACUCGAUCGCAGAGAGGCAAGGAAGGAAUGAGGGAGACCAAGGGGGAGGCUACUGCAAUGGUCCACACAAGAAACAAAGGUGAUUUGGAUCAGGGUGGGUUUCAGGGACUGGAGUCAGACUAUGUUGCUGACGGUGGCAAUGAGGUCAAGCUUCUAGGACAGUGCCUGACAUAUGGUAGCUACACAACAAAUACCAAUUUUAAGAAUGAAAUCUGAACUAAGGCAGUGGUGACGGAGAGGAGGGCUCAGUUAGGGUUCCUUUCAUUGUGAGUGACAGAAACUCAGCUCAAACUGGCUCAAGUGAAAAGGAGAAUUACUGGUUUAUAUAACUAGGGGAAGUUUUGCAAUAGUAUUAACUUCAAGCAUGGCUGGAGCCAAGAGGUCAAAUAUUGUCUAGACUUCCUCUCCCCCUGCCCUACAUAUAUUGGCUUCCUUCACAAGCAACCUCUCUGCUUGUAGUAGCCAAGCUGCCCACCAGCUGCUCCAUGUCCUCCCAGUCUCAUAGGCUCCUUUCUAGAGGAGACUCUGAUUGGUCGUGCUUGGAUCCCAGGCCCAACUGUGAACCAAUCACCAUGGCCCAGAGCAUGGGCCCUCUGAUUGGUCCACUUCAAUCCUCUGCCUACUCCAGGAGCAAGUGUGGGGAGCUGGGACCAGUCCCUCUGAUUGCCCCUCCAAAACUAUGUAAAGUGAGGACAAGAGUUUUCCCAAAUAAAUCAUCAAAAGGGCAAGAGAAAGCACGUUGGAAAGACGAAAGUUCCAAUUAUCACAGGCUUCUAGUAAGGGACAGGAAAGGGCUUUGAGCUGGCUUUGGGCUGGCUUUGGGCUAUUCCUGAAAAAAAAAAACACAACAACAAAAAAAGAAAAAAAAAAAAAAA